GGUGCGGUACCCAAGUGGCAUAAGGGAGCAGUCUGCAAAACUGUUAUUCGUCGGUUCGAGUCCGGCCCGCACCU
Molecule: transfer RNA, 74 nt
Filed under: Candidatus Endomicrobiellum neotermitis
Lineage: Bacteria; Pseudomonadati; Elusimicrobiota; Endomicrobiia; Endomicrobiales; Endomicrobiaceae
Description: tRNA-Cys
Rfam family: tRNA
About the family: Transfer RNA (tRNA) molecules are approximately 80 nucleotides in length.
Source: RNAcentral